AACGAACGCUGGCGGUAUGCUUAACACAUGCAAGUCGAACGGAAUUUAUAGAGCUUGCUCUAUAAAUUUAGUGGCAAACGGGUGAGUAAUAUAGAGGAAUCUACCUAGCAGUAAGGAAUAACCUUGGGAAACCAAGGAUAAUACCAUAUAUUACCGUUAUAUUUAUAUAACGGGAAAGAUUUAUCGCUGUUAGAUGAGCCUCUAUCGGAUUAGCUUGUUGGUAGGGUAAUGGCCUACCAAGGCAAUGAUCCGUAGCUGGUCUGAGAGGAUGAUCAGCCACACUGGGACUGAGACACGGCCCAG
This 303-nucleotide ribosomal RNA is filed under the name uncultured bacterium. RNAcentral's name for it is "bacterial SSU rRNA". It matches the Rfam family "Bacterial small subunit ribosomal RNA", at positions 29 to 334 of the family's 1533-position model. The record is from RNAcentral.